GUACCCACAAUUACUUGGAUAACUGUGGUAAUUCUAGAGCUAAUACAUGCAAACAGAGCUCCAACCGGAGACGGAAGGAGUGCUUUUAUUAGAUCAAAACCAAUCGGUGGCGAGUACGCUCGUCAUCGUUCAACUUGGUGACUCUGAAUAACUUUACGCUGAUCGCACGGUCUCGCACCGGCGACGCAUCUUUCAAAUGUCUGCCUUAUCAACUGUCGAUGGUAGGUUCUGCGCCUACCAUGGUUGUAACGGGUAACGGGGAAUCAGGGUUCGAUUCCGGAGAGGGAGCCUGAGAAACGGCUACCACAUCCAAGGAAGGCAGCAGGCGCGCAAAUUACCCACUCCCGGCACGGGGAGGUAGUGACGAAAAAUAACGAUACGGG
This 383-nucleotide ribosomal RNA is filed under the name Atactoglymma sp. 1 MB-2015. RNAcentral describes it as "SSU rRNA". It matches the Rfam family "Eukaryotic small subunit ribosomal RNA", at positions 124 to 489 of the family's 1831-position model. The record is from RNAcentral. Lineage: Eukaryota; Metazoa; Arthropoda; Insecta; Coleoptera; Curculionidae.